GGGCUGGGGCUCAGUGGCAGAGUGCUCUCCUAGCAUGCGUGAAGCACUGUGUUCGAUCCUCAGCACCACA
Molecule: transfer RNA, 70 nt
Filed under: Marmota monax (woodchuck)
Lineage: Eukaryota; Metazoa; Chordata; Mammalia; Rodentia; Sciuridae
Description: tRNA.Ala
Source: RNAcentral